Lentinula lateritia is the source of this 78-nucleotide non-coding RNA. NCBI's taxonomy places the organism in Eukaryota, Fungi, Basidiomycota, Agaricomycetes, Agaricales, Omphalotaceae. The record is from the annotation of a GenBank genome assembly.
GCAUUAAUGGGGUAGUGGUAACCUGGGUCGUUGCCAUAUGAUCUCGACCCGCCGGGGGUUCGAUUCCCUCUUAAUGCA